UACGUAGGUGGCAAGCGUUGUCCGGAUUUAUUGGGUUUAAGGGGUGCGUAGGCGGUCAUAUAAGUCAGUGGGGAAAUACUUCAGCUCAACUGGAGAGGUGCCAUUGAUACUGUAUGACUUGAGUACAGACGAGGUAGGCGGAAUUGACGGUGUAGCGGUGAAAUGCUUAGAUAUCGUCAAGAACACCGAUAGCGCAGGCAGCUUACUAGACUGUAACUGACGCUGAUGCACGAAAGUGUGGGGAUCAACCAGG
This 253-nucleotide ribosomal RNA is filed under the name uncultured bacterium. RNAcentral describes it as "partial 16S ribosomal RNA". It matches the Rfam family "Bacterial small subunit ribosomal RNA", at positions 524 to 776 of the family's 1533-position model. The record is from RNAcentral.